RNAcentral lists this unclassified non-coding RNA (360 nucleotides) under Hevea brasiliensis (rubber tree). The record is from RNAcentral. Lineage: Eukaryota; Viridiplantae; Streptophyta; Magnoliopsida; Malpighiales; Euphorbiaceae.
GGAAAAAAAACAUAUUAUUUACAUUAUGUUUAUAUGUAAGAUAAAAGAAAUUGAAAAUUGUGUGUACCUGUAUUUCCAGCUUAAGUAAAAGAUAAAAGUGAGGAUAUAAAAUUAAAACUCAUGGCAUAAGUAAUAAUACAAAUAAUAAUAAGAGAUGUUAAUAGAAGAGAGAAAUAGUGCGUACCUACAUUUCCAGCUUAAGUAUAUAUAAGGUAAAUGUAAGGCUGUAAAAUUGAAAAUCAUUAUUCAUAGCCUAAGCAACUAAAACUAAGUCAUAAUAAUAGAAUAUGUAAAUUCUAGAAGUUCCAACUUUAAUAAAUAGAAAUAAGUCAUAAGUUAUAACAAUCCAAAUACAACAAG